ACGGGUGAGUAAUGCCUGGGGAUCUGCCCAGUCGAGGGGGAUAACUACUGGAAACGGUAACUAAUACCGCAUACGCCCUACGGGGGAAAGCAGGGGACCUUCGGGCCUUGCGCGAUUGGAUGAACCCAGGUGGGAUUAGCUAGUUGGUGAGGUAAUGGCUCACCAAGGCGACCAUCCCUAGCUGGUCUGGGAGGAUGAUCAGCCACACUGGAACUGAGACACGGUCCAGACUCCUACGGGAGGCAACAUUGGGGAAUAUUGCACAAUGGGGGAAACCCUGAUGCAGCCAUGCCGCGUGUGUGAAGAAGGCCUUCGGGUUGUAAAGCACUUUCAGCGAGGAGGAAAGGUUGGUAGCUAAUAACUGCCAGCUGUGACGUUACUCGCACAAGAAGCACCGGCUAACUCCGUGCCAGCAGCCGCGGUAAUACGGAGGGUGCAAGCGUUAAUCGGAAUUACUGGGCGUAAAGCGCACGCAGGCGGUUGGAUAAGUUAGAUGUGAAAGCCCCGGGCUCAACCUGGGAAUUGCAUUUAAAACUGUCCAGCUAGAGUCUUGUAAAGGGGGGUAGAAUUCCGGGUGUAG
RNAcentral lists this ribosomal RNA (580 nucleotides) under uncultured bacterium. Its description in RNAcentral is "bacterial SSU rRNA". It matches the Rfam family "Bacterial small subunit ribosomal RNA", at positions 102 to 678 of the family's 1533-position model. The record is from RNAcentral.